RNAcentral lists this ribosomal RNA (792 nucleotides) under uncultured Staphylococcus sp. RNAcentral describes it as "bacterial SSU rRNA". It matches the Rfam family "Bacterial small subunit ribosomal RNA", at positions 73 to 850 of the family's 1533-position model. Lineage: Bacteria; Bacillati; Bacillota; Bacilli; Caryophanales; Staphylococcaceae. The record is from RNAcentral.
GAGAAGCUUACUUCUCUGAUGUUAGCGGCGGACGGGUGAGUAACACGUGGAUAACCUACCUAUAAGACUGGGAUAACUUCGGGAAACCGGAGCUAAUACCGGAUAAUAUUUUGAACCGCAUGGUUCAAAAGUGAAAGACGGCCUUGCUGUCACUUAUAGAUGGAUCCGCGCUGCAUUAGCUAGUUGGUAAGGUAACGGCUUACCAAGGCAACGAUGCAUAGCCGACCUGAGAGGGUGAUCGGCCACACUGGAACUGAGACACGGUCCAGACUCCUACGGGAGGCAGCAGUAGGGAAUCUUCCGCAAUGGGCGAAAGCCUGACGGAGCAACGCCGCGUGAGUGAUGAAGGUCUUCGGAUCGUAAAACUCUGUUAUUAGGGAAGAACAUAUGUGUAAGUAACUGUGCACAUCUUGACGGUACCUAAUCAGAAAGCCACGGCUAACUACGUGCCAGCAGCCGCGGUAAUACGUAGGUGGCAAGCGUUAUCCGGAAUUAUUGGGCGUAAAGCGCGCGUAGGCGGUUUUUUAAGUCUGAUGUGAAAGCCCACGGCUCAACCGUGGAGGGUCAUUGGAAACUGGAAAACUUGAGUGCAGAAGAGGAAAGUGGAAUUCCAUGUGUAGCGGUGAAAUGCGCAGAGAUAUGGAGGAACACCAGUGGCGAAGGCGACUUUCUGGUCUGUAACUGACGCUGAUGUGCGAAAGCGUGGGGAUCAAACAGGAUUAGAUACCUGGUAGUCCACGCCGUAAACGAUGAGUGCUAAGUGUUAGGGGGUUUCCGCCCCUUAGUGCUGCA